CACCACUCAAGCCUCGCUUGGUAUUGGGCGACGCGGUCCGCCGCGCGCCUCAAAUCGACCGGCUGGGUCGAUCGCACCCUCAGCGUUGUGGAAACUAUUCGCUAAAGGGAGUCGCGGUCGGUCACGCCGUGAAACAAACCAAUUUUCAAU
This 150-nucleotide unclassified non-coding RNA is filed under the name uncultured Toxicocladosporium. Its description in RNAcentral is "sequence contains ITS2". The record is from RNAcentral. Lineage: Eukaryota; Fungi; Ascomycota; Dothideomycetes; Capnodiales.